This 936-nucleotide unclassified non-coding RNA is filed under the name Hevea brasiliensis (rubber tree). Lineage: Eukaryota; Viridiplantae; Streptophyta; Magnoliopsida; Malpighiales; Euphorbiaceae. The record is from RNAcentral.
AGAUUGCAAAGAGGUCCCUUUGACUGAAAUAGGCUUUGAGUCUAUAGACAGCAUCAGACUCCCCCUCCUUGAACAUGAGAAAGUCGCAUAGGAUUAAAUCAAGCAACUAGGAAAUCAAUAGGGAGGAUAGUGGUCAUCACAUGUACCUGACCAAAUUCCUCAUCUUCUUUGGACUUUGACUAUUGUUGGCUAGACAACCACAAUGAUAUUUUACUUAGGCCAUGCCAAUAAGUAUGCCCUCUUUCUCCACAACCACAGCCUUUUAAAUGAAGGCCUCAAGUCUUCUGAUAUUAGGAAUUCAUGAUAACUACUACCUUUUGUCUGAAAGCCAUCUUCUUCAUGGAAUUCUACAUAUAUCUGCUUCCCUUCUCUACUUUCUUCUCAUAAGUUUUGACCAUGUCUGCAAAAGAAAAUAUUUAUCUUGUAGCUUAAAUUAUACGCUAAACUGGAGUUCUCCAAGAUGCCUAGUAAUUGAUUUCUGUGUUUUUCUCCUCAAAGCCAUUAGCUUGUGAAAUUUCAAAUAUAGGUGUUAUUGUCUUUUUCCCCAUUGAAAGGAGCACAUGACUUGGAAUAUAAAUCCCUUUCUUAGGAAACAAGAAUCACUUUGUUUUUCCAUCAAAUGUCUCACUGAAGGCCGGUCAGUGCAGUACAUGUUGAUGGAUUUGAUUUGAAGGUGUUGAAUUGUACUGCUGGAUACAGUCACAUCCUUUAAAACAAGUUGAUGCAGAUUAAUCUUAACUUUGUAAUCUUGCUUAAGGGGGUUAAAAGGACAUAGGGAGGCGGUAAGCAGAAUGGGCUAAGGGCUUGCAGAGCAUUUUGGAUUGCAACAGCAGGAACUCUUGACAGCCUUUAUUUGGAAUCAAGUGUUCUGAUGGGCAUUCACUUGAACCAUUAGCUAGUCAAGUCCCUUCUCAACAACACACACACACACACACA